This is a long non-coding RNA of Sceloporus undulatus (fence lizard), 361 nucleotides long. RefSeq lists it as uncharacterized. The transcript is spliced from 3 exons. The record is from RefSeq and is a predicted model, not a curated record. Lineage: Eukaryota; Metazoa; Chordata; Lepidosauria; Squamata; Phrynosomatidae.
CUGAGACACACAGCUGAAUUCUGACCUCAGAGUGAUUAGGAUCCACAGUGGCAGGGCCAGUUGGACAUUUCACAGGGACCAUGUGUCAUCACUAUUUUGCUCUGGGUUUUUUGGAAAAUCCAGAGCAAAUGGGUGUCUUGAUGUCUCAAUAAAGUCACAAGCAGUGCAUCCAGAAUCCCUUGUAAUCAUUACAGAGAGGAUGUUGGGAUGUUAAUCUCAGAAAAUAAGGAAAGAAGGAGGAAUUACCUGCCUUAUCUUGACAGGCCUAUCUUGACAGAGGAAAGUUUCCUUGAGGAAUAAAGAACUGGUCUUUCAGCCACCCUGGCUGGAGAGGAGAAGAUGGCAGCAGCUUCAGUCACAG